GUAGCAAUACCCUAGUAAAGCGGCGCACGGGUGAGUAACACGUGGAUAACCUGCCUCGAAGUGGGGAAUAACCCCGGGAAACCGGAGCUAAUACCGCAUAUUCUGACGAGAUCUGCGGAUUUUGUCAGGAAAGGAGCAAUUCGCUUUGAGAGGGGUCCGCGGCUGAUUAGCUAGUUGGUGAGGUAAUGGCUCACCAAGGCCACGAUCAGUAGCCGGUCUGAGAGGACGGUCGGCCACACUGGAACUGAGACACGGUCCAGACUCCUACGGGAGGCAGCAGUGGGGAAUUUUUCGCAAUGGGGGCAACCCUGACGAAGCAACGCCGCGUGGGUGAUGAAGUAUUUCGGUACGUAAAACCCUUUCGACGGGGAAGAAACCGCAAGGUUGACGGUACCCGUAGAAGAAGCCCCGGCUAACUCCGUGCCAGCAGCCCGGUAAUACGGGGGGGGCAAGCGUUGUUCGGAAUUACUGGGCGUAAAGGGCGCGUAGGCGGUUCGCUAAGUUGGAUGUGAAAACUCUGGGCUUAACCCAGAGCCUGCAUCCAAAACUGGCGAACUGGAGUACUGGAGGGGAAAGCGGAAUUCCUGGUGUAGCGGUGAAAUGCGUAGAUAUCAGGAGGAACACCGGUGGCGAAGGCGGCUUUCUGGACAGUAACUGACGCUGAGGCGCGAAAGCUAGGGGAGCAAACAGGAUUAGAUACCCUGGUAGUCCUAGCCCUAA
Molecule: ribosomal RNA, 720 nt
Filed under: uncultured bacterium
Lineage: Bacteria
Description: bacterial SSU rRNA
Rfam family: Bacterial small subunit ribosomal RNA
Source: RNAcentral